GGAUUAGUGGCGGACGGGUGAGUAACGCGUGAGUAACCUGCCUUAGAGAAGGGGAUAGCCUUUGGAAACGAAGAAUAAUACCCUAUGAAACCAUAACCUCGCAUGAGGCCUUGGUCAAAGAUUUAUCGCUCUAAGAUGGACUUGCGUCUGAUUAGUUAGUUGGUGGGGUAACGGCCUACCAAGACAGCGAUCAGUAGCCGGCUUGAGAGGGUGAACGGCCACAUUGGGACUGAGACACGGCCCAAACUCC
Molecule: ribosomal RNA, 250 nt
Filed under: uncultured Bacillota bacterium
Lineage: Bacteria; Bacillati; Bacillota
Description: uncultured Firmicutes bacterium partial 16S ribosomal RNA
Rfam family: Bacterial small subunit ribosomal RNA
Source: RNAcentral